Molecule: long non-coding RNA, 2823 nt
Filed under: Sus scrofa (pig)
Lineage: Eukaryota; Metazoa; Chordata; Mammalia; Artiodactyla; Suidae
Description: lncRNA (ENSSSCG00055026953.1)
Source: RNAcentral
UUUUUUUUUGGGGGGGGGGUCUUUUUGCCAUUUCUAGGGCUGUUCCUGCGGCAUAUGGAGGUUCCCAGGUGUAGCUUUGAAAAGACAAAAGACAAAUAAAUAAAUAAAUAAAUAAAUAAAUAAAUAAAUAAAUAAAUAAAAUAAGCUAUCUUAAAAUGGGAUUAAAAUACUAAGAUUUUGAACCUACAACCUCACUGUCUAUACCUAAAAAUGCUGAAAAAAAUAGAAUUGCCACAUCAAAGAGUCUUCUGAUUCAAGGACGGGAGGAAUCAAAAAAAAACUGAGUGCAAUUAUAAAUAAGAAAUGAGCUUAUGAUGAAAGCUGUAUUUCCCUCAUCUUUAGAGGGUUAUAAUUUCUCUUACUGUGUCUUACACAAUGGAACAUUUUUAAAAUAUUCUUUAUGGUGCCAGUUACACUGUAAUGUCAUUUUGAGACGAAUCAUUCUAGGUAUAACGAAAAAGGAAUUGAAUAUUUUAAACUUAGAUGCAAUAAGGUCUUUAAAAGGCCAACAUUGUUUACUCUGUUGUAAUACAUGCUUUAUAUUACAUUAUAGGGUUUUUCAAACCACAAAUGAAAAAGCCACUAGAGUAUAUCAGAGGACUGGCUGAAGAAGCACACAUUAGCUGAGAGGGUUUUACAGUUGACCUUGCCAAAUGCCUACUGCACGAAAAGUCAAAAAAAGAAAUCACAGCACUUUUCCCUCUGCAAUAACACAGUAACUCAUCUAAUUAAAGAUUUAGUUGCGACGAAGUCAAUGAGGCUGAACUGAUAUUUCAUUCUGAAGAAUCCUACUUUUGCCUUACAAAUGGGUAAGUCUCCAGGAUGAUGCAGCUGCUGUUUUGAUUGCUUUUGUCUGUUAAUCAGCACAAUAAAUAAUCAACGACCGCUUUUAUGUGAAUCUUUGGUAACAAAAUACAAGAGAUGCUAAAAUAUUCAAAGUAUUGAAUAACUUUUUUGCAUCUCAAGAUUACCCUGCCACAACUGUUAACAUUUGUGCUGACAAAAGCACAAAUUAAAUGUGUUAACAUUUAAUGUGUUAAAAUGUGCUAACAUUUGUGCUGUACCAAAGCAGUGGUGGGUAACACUGCUGGUGCCUUAGUAGAAAUCAAGGCAGUGCCUCCAAACUGUGCCAGUGUCUCUCUAUCCUUUGCCUUCACUCUCUAGUUGGGGGGAAAGCCAGUUUCACUUGAGAAUGUCCUUGACAGAGCAAUAAAAAGUUAUUCUAUUAAACCCCAACCUUUAGUACACAUCAUUGUAGUAGUUUGGGUGAAAAAAUGAUGAAAUGGGAACUAUGAAUAAAGCACCAUCCACAAUGGAUGUCUUGAGGAAAGGCAUCUGGGCCAUAGUUUGAGUGGUAAACUGAAUUAGCCGUCUGGUUCAUACAACUUUAUUUUAACUUGAAAGAACUGCCAGACAAACGAUGAUUAUUCAGACUUGGCAGCUUGAUCGACAUUUUCCUGGAAAUUUUUUUUUUUUGCAUUUAUUUAUUUAUUUUUUUUAUUUUUAUUUUUUGAGUGAGACUAGUCACUUCAAGGAAAAUAAAUAACAGCAUUGUGGCCAAUGAUAAAACUCAAGCAAGCUUACAGGUAAAAUUUAGGAUUUAGGAAAAACAUGUACCCACCACCAGGAGCUUGAGGACUUCCCAAUCCUUAAAAAUGUUUCAGAAGUCAUCAACGGUGAUAUGAACCACUGUGAGUGUAAUUUUAUAUAAUGAAAUAAUUUAACAUGUGGAAACAUUUAAAAAUCUCCAGACACCAACAUUUUUCAAAUAACCAAUGCAUGAUAUUACUAUAUCAUACAUGGAGAAAAAAAUCAUUACAAGUGCAAAAUACACCAAUAAAUUUUAACGUAAUAGUUUAAAAAAUGGUUUCAGAUUUCACAUUGCAGCUAACCUCAAAGAAACUACGACUCCUCAAGUUCUGGUGCAGUACCAGAAAAUAUCCGCAAUAACCUGAAAAGGCUGUCAGAAUAGUUCUCUAUUUUCCAGGGUUCUGGUUGUGGCUCAGUGGGUUAAGAACCCGACAUAGUGUCCCUGAGGAUUUGGGUCCAAUCCCUGACCGCACUCAGUGGGUUAAGGAUCCAGCAUUGCCACAAGCUGUGGUGGGGGUUGCAGAUGCAGCUCGGAUUCCACAUUGCUGUGGCUGUGGUGUAGGCCGGCAGAUGCAGCUCCUAUUAGACCCCUAGCCUGGGAACUUCCAUAUGCCGCAGGUGUGGCCCUAAAAAGAAAAAAAAAAAAGAAAAAUACGUCUUUCUUUUCCAACUGUGUAUCUGUGUGAAGUCAUAAUCUCUUCAUGCCUUUCAACAAAAACAAUACAUUGCAAAUUGAUUGAAAGCAAAAAAAGUGAGAAUACAGCUGUCUACUAUUAAGAAACACUAGAGAUUUGCAAACAUGUAAAACAAUGUCAUUCUCACUUAAUUUUUUAUUUCAUAAAUGCACUUAUUUUUCAUAAAAUAAUUCAUAUAUUAAUCUGUCAUUGGUGUGUUAUUGUGACUUGAGUAAAUAUUUAAUCCUCAGUUUUAACAUUUACCCAUAAAGAAAAAGCACUGUGGGGUCCUCAGUAAUUUUCACAACUGUCAAGUUGUAAGUUCACAACUGAACCCAAAAAAUUUUGAGUCACUAAUCUAGAAAAUAGAAUACACUUAUUUCUUUAUAUCUAUUAUUCCUACAAAUAGUAUUAACAAUAAAACACAUCUUCUAAUAUAAUUUUUCUUUUCUGUGCAAAUUUUUUCAUAGAAAAAACAACUAUCCCUAUGGCUCAACUCCUACAAUGACUUNUUUUUUUUUUUUUUUUUUUUUUUGCUUUUUAGGGCCACAGGUGCAGC